ACGCCCUGGGAUUGGCCCAUCCCUGCCAGGGAGGCGGGAAUCUCUCUCCGAGAUCUCCGUCCUCUGCGUGAAUCUCGCUCGCUCGCGAGACUGCUGUCUGAUUGGAGACAUGUGAGCUCUUACCUGUCCUGACCAGGUGAAGGGACCCUCUGCAUUGGAAGAUGGGAGCCUGGAGGGCGAGGGAACUGGAAUCGCAGCCCGAACUACAGGCUGCAGGACGCUUUCCUCCCUAGAGCCCAGCCUCGGAGGGCCAGCUGGAAAGCGGCCAUGAGUGGAUGGGUCCUCUGGCAUCAUCGGGACUGGGGAGCGUUACGAGAAACAAUCCUGGAAGAAGCAACCUCUAGGUUUCCUAGCGGAAGCGUUUACCACGGAAUCAUCUGGACUCUGACCAAGAGAGGAAGCUUUAAGUCCAUCCGCUGGACAGGAACACUUCCUGUGGACACCGCCUGCUGUGUGCUCACCGGGGAAGUUCUGA
Cervus elaphus (red deer) is the source of this 475-nucleotide long non-coding RNA. RefSeq lists it as uncharacterized. The record is from RefSeq and is a predicted model, not a curated record. The transcript is spliced from 4 exons. Lineage: Eukaryota; Metazoa; Chordata; Mammalia; Artiodactyla; Cervidae.